GCGAAAGCCUGACGCAGCGACGCCGCGUGGGGGAAGAAGGCCUUCGGGUUGUAAACCCCUUUCGUGAGGGAAAAAGUCCCGAGCAAUCGGGAUGAUGGUACCUCAGGAAGAAGCCACGGCUAACUCUGUGCCAGCAGCCGCGGUAAGACAGAGGUGGCAAGCGUUGUUCGGAUUUACUGGGCUUAAAGGGCGUGUAGGCGUCCUGAUAAGUCAGAUGUGGAAGCCUUGAGCUUAACCCAAGAAUUGCAUUUGAAACUGUCAGGAUUGAGUCGUGCAUGGGAGGGCGGAAUUCCUGGUGUAGCGGUGAAAUGCGUAGAUAUCAGGAGGAAGGCCGGUGGUGAAGAUGGCCCUCUGGGCAAUGACUGACGCUGAGGCGCGAAAGCGUGGGUAGCAAACAGGAUUAGAUACCCUGGUAGUCCACGCCCUAAACGGUGGGUACUAGGUGUGGGUGGCGAUAGUCAUCCGUGCCGAAGGGAAACCAUUAAGUACCCCGCC
This 495-nucleotide ribosomal RNA is filed under the name uncultured bacterium. Its description in RNAcentral is "bacterial SSU rRNA". It matches the Rfam family "Bacterial small subunit ribosomal RNA", at positions 375 to 873 of the family's 1533-position model. The record is from RNAcentral.